AGACGCAGAGAACUGAAACAUCUAAGUACCUGCAGGAAGAGAAAGAAAAUUCGAUUCCCUGAGUAGCGGCGAGCGAAACGGGAAAAGCCCAAACCAACAAGCUUGCUUGUUGGGGUUGUAGGACUCCAAUAUGGUAGUUCUUUCAGAUAGUCGAAUGACUUGGAAAAGUCAGUCAAAGAGGGUAAAAACCCCGUAGACGAAAUGUGGAAGACACCUAGGAGGAU
Molecule: ribosomal RNA, 224 nt
Filed under: Enterococcus faecium
Lineage: Bacteria; Bacillati; Bacillota; Bacilli; Lactobacillales; Enterococcaceae
Description: partial 23S ribosomal RNA
Rfam family: Bacterial large subunit ribosomal RNA
Source: RNAcentral